AUUCCAGCUCCAAUAGCGUAUAUUAAAGUUGCUGCAGUUAAAAAGCUCGUAGUUGGAUUUCUGGUGGGAGCGAUCGGUCUGGCGCUUAGCGCCAGUACUUGCAUCGUCUCCGGCCAUCCUUGGGGAGAGUUUGUCUGGCAUUAGGUUGUCGGACGGUCGACGCUCGUCGUUUACUGUGAACAAAUUAGAGUGUUCAAAGCAGGCUUAGGCCGUUGAAUACAUUAGCACGGAAUAAUGUGAUAGGACUUUGGUGGUCUAUUUUGUUGGUUUGCACGCCGAAGUAAUGAUUAAUAGGGGCGGUUGGGGGUAUUCGUAUUCAAUUGUCAGAGGUGAAAUUCUUGGAUUUAUGGAAGACGAACUACUGCGAAAGCAUUUACCAAGGAUGUUUUCAUUA
Molecule: ribosomal RNA, 394 nt
Filed under: Florenciellales sp.
Lineage: Eukaryota; Dictyochophyceae; Florenciellales
Description: partial small subunit ribosomal RNA
Rfam family: Eukaryotic small subunit ribosomal RNA
Source: RNAcentral